This 69-nucleotide transfer RNA is filed under the name Ictidomys tridecemlineatus (thirteen-lined ground squirrel). RNAcentral describes it as "Spermophilus tridecemlineatus (thirteen-lined ground squirrel) tRNA". It matches the Rfam family "tRNA". Rfam says of the family: Transfer RNA (tRNA) molecules are approximately 80 nucleotides in length. Their secondary structure includes four short double-helical elements and three loops (D, anti-codon, and T loops). The record is from Rfam by way of RNAcentral. Lineage: Eukaryota; Metazoa; Chordata; Mammalia; Rodentia; Sciuridae.
GGGGCUGUAGCUCAACAGUAGAGCGCUUGCCUAGCAUGCAUGAGGCACUGAGUUCAAUCCUCAGCACCA